This 515-nucleotide ribosomal RNA is filed under the name uncultured bacterium. RNAcentral's name for it is "partial 16S ribosomal RNA". It matches the Rfam family "Bacterial small subunit ribosomal RNA", at positions 28 to 523 of the family's 1533-position model. The record is from RNAcentral.
GAUGAACGCUGGCGGCGUGCCUAAUACAUGCAAGUCGAGCGAAUGGAUUAAGAGCUUGCUCUUAUGAAGUUCGCGGCGGACGGGUGAGUAACACGUGGGUAACCUGCCCAUAAGACUGGGAUAACUCCGGGAAACCGGGGCUAAUACCGGAUCACAUUUUGAACCGCAUGGUUCGAAAUUGAAAGGCGGCUUCGGCUGUCACUUAUGGAUGGACGCGCGUCGCAUUAGCUAGUUGGUGAGGUAACGGCUCACCAAGGCAACGAUGCGUAGCCGACCUGAGAGGGUGAUCGGCCACACUGGGACUGAGACACGGCCCAGACUCCUACGGGAGGCAGCAGUAGGGAAUCUUCCGCAAUGGACGAAAGUCUGACGGAGCAACGCCGCGUGAGUGAUGAAGGCUUUCGGGUCGUAAAACUCUGUUGUUAGGGAAGAACAAGUGCUAGUUGAAUAAGCUGGCACCUUGACGGUACCUAACCAGAAAGCCACGGCUAACUACGUGCCAGCCGCCGCGGUAA